RNAcentral lists this unclassified non-coding RNA (3052 nucleotides) under Pomacea canaliculata. RNAcentral describes it as "14 kDa phosphohistidine phosphatase-like, transcript variant X2". The record is from RNAcentral. Lineage: Eukaryota; Metazoa; Mollusca; Gastropoda; Architaenioglossa; Ampullariidae.
AUUUGUGUUUAAAUUAUAUGUGAAAAAUAGAAGUACGAAAGUAGAACAAAGAAUCCUCCCUAGCACAAGGGCCUCGUUCUGAUUUUACAAGUUAUCAACAACAAUGAGGUAUCCACCGCGUAUGCAUGGCCCAAACUACCCACGCGAAUGUUGUACAGGCCAGGCAGUGAUAAUCCUGUGGCUUUGGUAGUCUUGGACAAUCACGAACAGCUCCAUGCAAAAUCGACUUUCGUGAAACAUCGCAACAAGAGAGCUGUUUAGAGCACCAAAACAGCGGCAAGCCUAUGGCUGUGCAUACUGUGGCAUCUUGUCAAGCAGUCGUGACUCUGAAACCAUGCCAGGCAAAACUGCACCAGUGAACCCCAAGCUUGCUCAAGUGCCAACUGUGCAGAUAGAUGCUAGUGGAACCUUUAAAUAUAUUCUCUGCAAGAUAUACGAGGGCAACAACACCAGUGAUUACAAAUAUAUUGUGCGGGGCACAGCAGAUGCAAACUUUCAUGCUGAUAUGUAUGACUAUCUGGAUGCAAACCUGGAAGCUGAAGGCAUAAGCUGUGAAUGUGUGGGAGGUGGAAAAAUUACACAUGAUCCUGAAAAUAAGUCCAUCACAAUAUUUGGAAAAUCCCAGGCUUAUGGCCCUGCAAACCAUGCAACAACAGCAGGUCUGUUGGAAGAGCAUUUUCCAGACUACACAAGUAUCACCUGGUCAGAUUAGGAUUUGCUUAAUGGGAAGCAAUCCAAAAGCUUUCACAAUUUUUAUUUCCCUUACCAUGUUUGCUAGGUCCUACUUGCACCAAAGUUUUGCAGAUUGUGGUAUGUGCUAUUCUUUUAAUUUUUAAAUUUUUUUAAUUUAAACCAUUUAUUUGUCAACAUAUAAAAGCUCAUUAUUUUUAUUAUAGAAAAUGUUAAACCCUGGUUGAUAGCUUAUUUUCAGGGGAAAUUUGAAAUACAAUGGACUUUCAUCAUUUUUGGCCCACCAUAUUCUGAAGUGAUAUAUAAUGGUAUUAUUUUGUUUAUUUUAGUCUGUGGAUCAAUAUUUGUAAAAGGAAGGAGUUUAGGAGCUUUUUAAACAAUUCAGAAUACUUGUAAGCAUAUUUUAAGCCAGUUAUGAUUGUGUCUUAGAUUACAAAUUUAGUAAUAACCUAAUAAUAGGAAACUGGAGAAAGACCAAAAACAGUGCAACUGAAAGAAAAAAAUUGAAUUUACUUUUUCCACAUUAUUUAGUUUCAGCUGUCUAGCAAAUUAUGCAAGUGCAGAAGAUCUCAUAGGAAUAAUUAAUUUCAUAUGUGCAUUCAUUAGAACUUAAAUAUACUGUAAAUGUUUCUAUUUGGUGUUAUUUUACACUCAGAUCAGGAAUAACACUGGGUGGGCUGCUGAGAGAGGAUUCCUUCAGGUUGAUAUGGAUCAGUGAAGCACAUCUUUUUAACAUAAAUCUUUUCAUUCUUCCAAAUGCUUCUAGAAUGCUUGGACACCAUUGUGAAGACCUCGCAAAACUAAACAGCUUGCUUCUGGUGUUGCUGUGUUGGUUAGGAACAUGCUACAAAAUCAAGUAAUAUAUUAUGCUUUUCUUUGUAUACUUAAAAAAUAUUAUUAAAGAUGAUUGCAAGAUUGAGGACAUAAAAAUGUAUUUGUGCAAUUGUACAUUUAUUUAUAUUAGAUGACAGAUUAUAUGAGCAUGAGUACAAUGUAAUAAACACUGAAGGCUGUUCUAGAAACAAAGUGUGAUUUUGAAGGACACUGGCAAAGACUUCUGAGAAAGAAAAUAUGACUGCCAUAAUAUAAUUGUAACGUGUUUUAAUACACAUAAAUUUGUUGACCUAAAAUGUGUACUUAAUUUGGAAAGCAAAAAAUCAUUGAGGGCAAAUGAAAGUACUCCCUCCUUUUUGAUGUCAAGUUUGCCUUGAAAACUUCAAAUAUUUUAAAAGGAUGUGUUCUGUUUACAGAGUGUGUCAGGCACCUAGGUGUGUCAUACGUUUUGGUUUCCUUAAAGAUAAAAAGGUGUAGAAUUCAUUAAUGAUGUUUCGCGAAAUUGAUGUUGAGAAAUUGAUUAAGUUUUGUUGUUUCUUAUCUUAGAUUAAAGCUAUGUUAGUUUUGUUCAGAUCAAAACAUCUGUGAAAGAUAACUUUCAUUCAGAAAACGGAAGUUGAUAAAAAAAAAAAGGUGAUGCCAUUAUUUUAUAUCUGAUUUUUGCAGUGUAUCACAUUUGUUAACAUAUUCUGCUGUGGUGUUAUUAAUUCGCUACUGGCAUGAGUUUUUAAAAAAAGGUUGAAGGAUACGUUAUGUGUCUAGAUUUGUAAUGUUAGAGCAAAUUUAUCAAACUACAAUUUUUGGAUUUAUUUUUUACUGCCCACUAUGGCUUUACAAACUUGAUGGUGCUGUUAACUUAUCUUUUAGCAGCAUUGAUAGCGGAAAAACUUUAAAAAAUAUUUGCUGCUAGCCAAAAAAUAUCUAUGAGCCAUCUACUGUGCAGAUAAUUAUAUUUCUCAUAUUCAGAUGUUUUUUUCCUUCGACUUUUCAUAUUUGCUCCAAUGACUGUUACUGAUGAAAGUAAUUGCUUUUAUUUAUUUUAUUUUUUUGAGAGAGAACUAAACUGAAAAUAUUUCGAUAUUUUGGGAGUACUUUUCAUGUACUGACAGCAUUAAUCCUGGUUUAACGUUUGCAAUGCAAUUGUGAUCUCUUGGUGAUUCGAGACAUUGACGCAGUCGUUGCUUUAAAGAAGAAUUAUAACGAUUUUUGACGAGGAUAACUUGCUUUUUGAAAAGGCAGUGGCGUUUUUUAAGUGUGCGUGCGUUUGUAUGUGUGCUUGGAAGGGUUUGGGACGUACUCAACCACUUAGCUUCUGUGUUCCACAGGGCCACAAAUCAUGGUGUCCAGCUUUGUCCCGACAUCUCAUGUGGGAUCGUGAGCUUGAUACACCCGCGCUUAUUUACGACAUCAUCGCCGUCAGCAGGAAACGCAGAUCAUUUUCCCCAUAAAUCAUUUGGAACGAUCAAUAGAUUUUUGUAUGAGAUUUAAUAAUUAACAGGGGUUGCUUACUAAAUAAAUAUUUGAAGAA